ACCUAGCCCCUCAGAGAGGAGGCAGGAUUCCAGGCCUCCCUGUUUGCACGGAGUAGAGUGCUGUUUUUCUCCUGUGGUAAGCAACAGACCAUCACAGCAGCUUCAUGACUUUGGAAAUGGUGGCUUCACAACUGGCUUGGUGGCAGACAGCCCCAGGCUUGUUACAAGGCAUCCUCUCUUUAUAAGUGCCAGUUGGGCGGCAACCUCUGAACCAUCACAUCUCAGAUGAAUUUCAUUUCUAAGAGUUACUGAACAGUCUUUGGAAAGUAGCAUUGACCACACAGCAUGCAAAAUUGACUCCUUUUUCACUGUAACCAUUAAGAUAAAGGUGUUCAGCAGGAAGAGGUGAUGUAGGAGUGGCCAAUAAGUAGGAUAUUGAAUGCCAGCAUUUAUUGACCAGUAGUGGCUGCCCAGAGUAACAUGUAUGUGAAAGGAUUUUGCAGUCAUUUCCAGGCUCAAAGGGAAAGAUCUCCAUGAUUGACCAGUAAUGUCUGCAGUCGGCAUGGGGAACAGCAUGGUGGUAUAUGUAUCAUGCCCUAAGAAUAAAUUACAGAGUAAUAUAAGGUUGCAGUGCAGGCUCAGCUCUGCCACUUUGUAACUGGAAGCUAAUUCUAGGACAGUUGACUUAAUUCUUAGAGCCUCAGUUUUCCUAUAUAUGCAAUGGGAAUUUUACCUUUUAUUUUUUGGACUGGUGAUGUUCUUAUUGAGGUGUCUGGAGCAUGAAAACUUCUCGAUAAAUGGAAAUUAUCCAGACUUACUGCUGAAGGUUGUGAUAUCACAGAAACGUUACUGGGGUCAAGGGAAAGAGCAAGUACAUGUGAUAAUCCUAUUGCUGGGAUCAGCAGCAAAUUUGGUGAUCCUAAAUUUAAUAAUGAUUUUGAAGAUGCUUUCUCCUUCUGCCUCUUCUUUUGUUGCUGACGAUUUUACUGCUCUAGGUAACCAUACCUUAAGUCUUCAGAUGUGUCCUGCCAUUGAUAGAAAUUGGGGCCAGACUCCAAACUCCCACCUGUUUUAUUCAUUAUACAACCUGAUAUGCAGGUAUGAGAAGACUCUCAUACCUUUGGGACCAGAAUGUGACGCUCCACUUUAUUUUUUCAUUUGUGCACCCUUAGGCAGAUUAUUUAAUGGUGCUGAAACUCAGUUUUUUCAUUAA
This 1153-nucleotide long non-coding RNA is filed under the name Capra hircus (goat). RNAcentral's name for it is "lncRNA (ENSCHIG00010015849.1)". The record is from RNAcentral. Lineage: Eukaryota; Metazoa; Chordata; Mammalia; Artiodactyla; Bovidae.